Molecule: ribosomal RNA, 616 nt
Filed under: Bacteroides sp.
Lineage: Bacteria; Pseudomonadati; Bacteroidota; Bacteroidia; Bacteroidales; Bacteroidaceae
Description: bacterial SSU rRNA
Rfam family: Bacterial small subunit ribosomal RNA
Source: RNAcentral
CGAGGGGCAUCAGGAUGUAGCAAUACAUUGCUGGCGACCGGCGCACGGGUGAGUAACACGUAUCCAACCUGCCUUUUACUCGGGGAUAGGCUUUCGAAAGAAAGAUUAAUACCCGAUGGUAUAAUAUUUCCGCAUGGGAUUAUUAUUAAAGAAUUUCGGUAAAAGAUGGGGAUGCGUUCCAUUAGGCAGUUGGCGGGGUAACGGCCCACCAAACCUUCGAUGGAUAGGGGUUCUGAGAGGAAGGUCCCCCACAUUGGAACUGAGACACGGUCCAAACUCCUACGGGAGGCAGCAGUGAGGAAUAUUGGUCAAUGGGCGAGAGCCUGAACCAGCCAAGUAGCGUGAAGGAUGACUGCCCUAUGGGUUGUAAACUUCUUUUAUAGGGGAAUAAAAUGAGCCACGUGUGGCUUUUUGUAUGUACCCUAUGAAUAAGGAUCGGCUAACUCCGUGCCAGCAGCCGCGGUAAUACGGAGGAUCCGAGCGUUAUCCGGAUUUAUUGGGUUUAAAGGGAGCGUAGGUGGACAUGUAAGUCAGUUGUGAAAGUUUGCGGCUCAACCGUAAAAUUGCAGUUGAUACUGUGUGUCUUGAGUACAGUAGAGGUGGGCGGAAUUCGUGG